AUUAUAAUCCAUAAUCCUCAUCUCUUCCUUUCUUUCUAAACUUUGGGACCGCAGCAAGACCGCGACCAUUCUUCUUUAGUUGCACACUUGAUGAUCGCAUUCUGCCUCUCAUCCUCACACGCGUGUAUAGAUUCCAAAGUGGAAGUGUGUUUUUGCAGGUCCGUGAUCAUGUACACUUUCUCUGUAGAUGAAAACACAAGGAUUAUUAGACGUAGGUUUUGAGUUUGCCCGAGUUAAUGGGAUAGCUUUUAAUCUCUCUAGCUAGCUAUGUGCGACAGCUGCUCUGAAAGGAGAAGAUCCAAACCACUUGCUCAC
Molecule: long non-coding RNA, 315 nt
Filed under: Populus tremula
Lineage: Eukaryota; Viridiplantae; Streptophyta; Magnoliopsida; Malpighiales; Salicaceae
Description: long non-coding RNA (PTRE_LNC002479)
Source: RNAcentral